AGUUAAGUAGCUUAAGUCAAGCGUAUAUUUUGAAAAUAUAAGAAAAAGGUUUAAUUCCUUUAUUAACUU
Molecule: transfer RNA, 69 nt
Filed under: Canthesancus helluo
Lineage: Eukaryota; Metazoa; Arthropoda; Insecta; Hemiptera; Reduviidae
Description: tRNA-Ser
Rfam family: tRNA
About the family: Transfer RNA (tRNA) molecules are approximately 80 nucleotides in length. Their secondary structure includes four short double-helical elements and three loops (D, anti-codon, and T loops).
Source: RNAcentral